UCGGUCUUCCUCCCUCUGGUUUGAUUUGCCUGGAAAACCACAAUGAUCUACGAAACAGAGAACUUUCUACAAAGCAGUUCUUUCUCCCUCUCAGUUCUUCAUUUUGCCCACAAAAUUGCAAAGCUCUGAGAAAGAGAGAAGAGAUGAAAGAGAAUCAGCCCUACCCAGAUGAUAUUCUCAUCCUCUUUAACUAAAAAGGCACCAGGGAAGCGUUGAAGCAUUAAGAAGAGUCUGCCAGAAUGUGCAAGCCAAAAAUUCAAGGGCCAUGUACAAUGCAGGGAAUGUAAGUACAAAUUUAAACACAAAUUAGCAGGGUCCAAGCCAGCUAGGGGAGGCAAUUCUCAGCUUGGCCAGACGAAUAAGAAGGCUGCUAUUAGGUGUGGCCUGCCAACUACAUUAGUCAAUAGUUUGGGUUUGGUUGGUGGUGACUGGAGCUGCCUAAGGUGUUCCAGCCUGUCAGGUAUGCCUAAAGUGUCCCAACCCUCUAUUGGCAUGGGGCCAACUGCACAGCUGAUAUCCGUGGCACGCAUCAUGAGUGUGCACAUCAAGGUAGGAAUUCCUUUACUCCUUACUUUAAAAUCUGUGCAGGCCCAAACUCACUGUCAUAGGCUUUGGGCAUGCCUAUCCCUUCCUAUUUAAUAUUGAGUGGACUCAGAAUUCAAGUCAAGCUUAUUGCCCAAGGCACCUAGCUUAAACCAUCAAAACCCACAUGAUUGCCACUCUUAUCCCAAAACGAACACUAGAAUAAUCAAACAAUAUACAACUUGGAGUGA
Molecule: long non-coding RNA, 773 nt
Organism: Macadamia integrifolia
Lineage: Eukaryota; Viridiplantae; Streptophyta; Magnoliopsida; Proteales; Proteaceae
Exons: 2
Source: RefSeq, a predicted model, not a curated record